RNAcentral lists this microRNA precursor (223 nucleotides) under Physcomitrium patens. RNAcentral's name for it is "Physcomitrella patens miR897 stem-loop (ppt-MIR897)". Its record names the gene ppt-MIR897. Lineage: Eukaryota; Viridiplantae; Streptophyta; Bryopsida; Funariales; Funariaceae. The record is from miRBase by way of RNAcentral.
UCUUAGCAUUCAAAUGACCAAGGUGUCGAUGCCAAAUGCCAUUCUUAUCUUGAUCAAGUGGAAACUCAGCAAAUGCGGCCACUUCAACUCUAUUCACUAUCUUGCACUUGAUGAAGUAAAGAUUCCCAUCUCUAAAGCCUUUGGCAACAUCAUCUCUACCCAAUGUCUUUAUAAAGCAUCCAUUCUUAUCAAAUUAUAUCUUCUUGGUCACUUCAUAGGCAAG